GAUGAACGCUGGCGGCGUGCCUAAUACAUGCAAGUCGAGCGAACGGACGAGAAGCUUGCUUCUCUGAUGUUAGCGGCGGACGGGUGAGUAACACGUGGAUAACCUACCUAUAAGACUGGGAUAACUUCGGGAAACCGGAGCUAAUACCGGAUAAUAUUUUGAACCGCAUGGUUCAAAAGUGAAAGACGGUCUUGCUGUCACUUAUAGAUGGAUCCGCGCUGCAUUAGCUAGUUGGUAAGGUAACGGCUUACCAAGGCAACGAUGCAUAGCCGACCUGAGAGGGUGAUCGGCCGCACUGGAACUGAGACACGGUCCAGACUCCUACGGGAGGCAGCAGUAGGGAAUCUUCCGCAAUGGGCGAAAGCCUGACGGAGCAACGCCGCGUGAGUGACGAAGGUCUUCGGAUCGUAAAACUCUGUUAUUAGGGAAGAACAUAUGUGUAAGUAACUGUGCACAUCUUGACGGUACCUAAUCAGAAAGCCACGGCUAACUACGUG
This 497-nucleotide ribosomal RNA is filed under the name uncultured bacterium. Its description in RNAcentral is "partial 16S ribosomal RNA". It matches the Rfam family "Bacterial small subunit ribosomal RNA", at positions 28 to 507 of the family's 1533-position model. The record is from RNAcentral.